RNAcentral lists this long non-coding RNA (416 nucleotides) under Oncorhynchus kisutch (coho salmon). Its description in RNAcentral is "lncRNA (ENSOKIG00005023064.1)". The record is from RNAcentral. Lineage: Eukaryota; Metazoa; Chordata; Actinopteri; Salmoniformes; Salmonidae.
AAAAUUAUUUGUUUUUGUUUUUCUUCUGUAAAAGGUCAUAGUUCGUGACCCCAUUCUGCCAGCAUGCUUGGAGUUUUUUCUUCUUCCUCCUCGCGCGUUCUGCGCUUUUCUCCCUCCUAGCGCGCGGCGCGAGCCAGACAGACCGACGUCAGCCUGUCUGCCUUCUUCGAAGGGGAGCUGAUUGGUAGAUUUUGUUGUCAAUAUUAUAGGCCUAAUCCUUGCGUACAUUCUUUGUAAUAUAAUAUUCCUUAGAAUAAAGAGAGAGCCUGCAUCCGGAUGUGACGAGAUUGUUACUGCAUUAUGCUCAGUGGGGAAUAUUUGAAGCCACACAAUAUUGCGGAGGAUUACGGAACCAUGGACAGGAUGUGUUGACAUGGUCGUCUUCAUUGGAUUCAAGCUUCCCUGUCCUGCUCUGG